AUUGAACGCUGGCGGCGUGCCUAAUACAUGCAAGUAGGACGCAGUUGCGAACGGGUGAGUAACGCGUAGGUAAGUACCUAUUAGAGGGGGAUAACUAUUGGCAACGAUAGCUAAUACCGCCUACUAGUAGAUGGACCUGCGUUGUAUUAGCUAGUAGGUAGGGUAAAGGCCUACCUAGGCAAAGAUACAUAGCCGAGCUGAGGAGGAUGUCGACCACACUGGGAAUGGGACAAGGGCCAAGCUCCUGCAGGAGGGAGCAGUAGGGGAACUUCGGCAAAUGGGGGAACCCUGGCCGAGGCACGCCGCGUGGGUUGAUGAGGGUUUCGGGGCGUAAAAGUAUGUUGUGAAGGAAGCGGUACUUGACCAGAAAGGAACGGCUAACUACGUGCCAGCAGCCGCGGUAAUUC
Molecule: ribosomal RNA, 407 nt
Filed under: uncultured bacterium
Lineage: Bacteria
Description: partial 16S ribosomal RNA
Rfam family: Bacterial small subunit ribosomal RNA
Source: RNAcentral